This 245-nucleotide ribosomal RNA is filed under the name uncultured Leptotrichia sp. RNAcentral's name for it is "partial 16S ribosomal RNA". It matches the Rfam family "Bacterial small subunit ribosomal RNA", at positions 109 to 354 of the family's 1533-position model. The record is from RNAcentral. Lineage: Bacteria; Fusobacteriati; Fusobacteriota; Fusobacteriia; Fusobacteriales; Leptotrichiaceae.
AGUAACGCGUAAGAACUUGCCCUUUAGACUGGGAUAACAGAGGGAAACUUCUGAUAAUACUGGAUAAGUUAGUAUAUCGCAUGAUAUGCAAAUGAAAGCUACGGCACUAAAGGAGAGCUUUGCGUCCUAUUAGCUAGUUGGUAAGGUAAGAGCUUACCAAGGCGAUGAUAGGUAGCCGGCCUGAGAGGGUGGACGGCCACAAGGGGACUGAGAUACGGCCCUUACUCCUACGGGAGGCAGCAGGA